Oryza rufipogon (brownbeard rice) is the source of this 208-nucleotide microRNA precursor. It matches the Rfam family "MIR812 microRNA precursor family". The record is from Rfam. NCBI's taxonomy places the organism in Eukaryota, Viridiplantae, Streptophyta, Magnoliopsida, Poales, Poaceae.
AAUAAGUGCAGUUUUACACUAUUCACAUUCAACAUUUGACCAUUCGUCUUAUUUAAAAUUUUUUUAUGAUUAGUAUUUUUAUUGCUAUUAGAUGAUAAAACAUGAAUGAUACUUUAUAUGUGACUAAAUAUUUUCAAAUUUUUCACAAUUUUUUGAAAUAAGAUGGAUGGUUAAACGCUGGGCAUGGAUAUCCAUGGCUGCACUUAUU